GCACCUAUAGACUUUAACAUAACUUAUUAACACAUAUUGCUUUUUCACUAGCAUUUUCAGGUUAAAGAAUAUUACUACUACUAGUUAAUGUCUAUUGAAUACUUUUAUUGAUCAUGACGUUUCUUCUCAGCACUUUGCAUGUGCUAUCUCCUUUCAUCCCCAGAACAUUCAUACUAUUAUUAUCCUCAUUUUACAGAUGAGGACACGGAUGCACAGAAAAUCUAAAUAACUUCCCCGAAGUCCCACAACUUAUGAGUGGUAGGGAUGGGAUAAACCCAGAUAGUCUCACAUUAUAACACAAUUGGAUUGACCCAUGCUUAGGGCUCUCAGAGGAGGGUAUAUAUUGGUACAGUGAUUGGGAUGUAUGAUCCAGCUGGAACUAGGAAGAGAUGAAGAUGGAAGGAAAAAAUACAUGGGCUAAAAAACUGGACAUUUUGAUGAGUUCAAAGUAUGAGUCCUAGUAGUAACUAGCAGUAGGAUAGGAAAUAAAAGAGAUUUUUUACCAGAUAGCUGCAGGUUGUAUUUAAGAUUUCAGUUCAAGUUACAACGAGACCUAAGGUAUGGUCACAGAAGUAAGUAGCUGAGAUAGAAGAAAGAAGUGAAGGUCCUUAGAGAUACAGUUGGCAAAGCAGUGAGAGGCUAAGGUAUCCUUUGGGAUGUUCAUCUGGGAACUUAAUUCACCUCAAAUUAUGUCGAUAAUUAAGGGCAGCAGAGAAAUGCCCUGAGUUAUAUCCCCAAUUCUGUAUAAAAUGGAUGGAGAGAUUUCCAGUUUAAGAUGCCAUAUUGAACAUAUACAUUGAUCUCUUUGCCUUUGGAAACUCCAUUAAGCUGAUUGUAAAGGACGAAAAGGAUACUGACAUGACAAUGAAGAGACUGAAGAAGUAUCAUCAAUGGAUAAAGCAAAACAGAAAUAGCAGCUGCCUGGACCACGCCUAGAAAGGAAUCCUUUUGCCUGGCAGAAGCAUGAAACAGUUCCAUAUUUGAGAUGGCAUUUACCACUGAGGAAAGGAACUCAAGGGUGUAUUUCAGCAAAAUAAAGAAGUAAAGUACUAGAGCCAUCACUCAGAGAGCAAAUGACGAGACCAGAUGCUAACAACAAACGUUGUGUGACUUCCUAUCUCCAGCCACUUCUGAAGUCAGAUCUACUUUCUUGAAUGCAGCUUCAGUGUCACUCCUUCUAAGAGACCUUCCUCAACCACCCAGUUGAAAGUAUCCAUCUAGUCUAUGCAGCCAUAAAAAAGGAUGAAUUCAUGUCCUUUGUAGGGAAAUGGAUGAAACUGAAAACCAUCAUU
Molecule: non-coding RNA, 1292 nt
Organism: Macaca mulatta (Rhesus monkey)
Lineage: Eukaryota; Metazoa; Chordata; Mammalia; Primates; Cercopithecidae
Source: RefSeq, a predicted model, not a curated record